Molecule: ribosomal RNA, 253 nt
Filed under: uncultured bacterium
Lineage: Bacteria
Description: partial 16S ribosomal RNA
Rfam family: Bacterial small subunit ribosomal RNA
Source: RNAcentral
UACAGAGGGUGCAAGCGUUAAUCGGAAUUACUGGGCGUAAAGCGUGCGUAGACGGUUACAUAAGUCGGGUGUGAAAGCCCCGGGCUCAACCUGGGAAUUGCAUUCGAGACUGCGUAGCUAGGGUGCGGAAGAGGGAAGCGGAAUUUCCGGUGUAGCGGUGAAAUGCGUAGAUAUCAGGAGGAACACCAAUGGCGAAGGCAGCUCGCUGGGACGUUACUGACGCUGAGACGCGAAAGCGUGGGGAGCAAACAGG